This 211-nucleotide ribosomal RNA is filed under the name uncultured bacterium. RNAcentral's name for it is "partial 16S ribosomal RNA". It matches the Rfam family "Bacterial small subunit ribosomal RNA", at positions 524 to 735 of the family's 1533-position model. The record is from RNAcentral.
UACGUAGGGGGCAAGCGUUGUCCGGAAUCAUUGGGCGUAAAGCGCGUGUAGGCGGCUCGGUAAGUCUGCUGUGAAAGUCCAGGCUCAACCCUGGGAUGCCGGUGGAUACUGUCGAGCUCGAGUCCGGGAAGAGGCGAGUGGAAUUCCUGGUGUAGCGGUGAAAUGCGCAGGAUACAGGAGGAACACCGAUGGCGAAGGCAGGCUCUGGGAC